CCGACCGCGACCCCAGGUCAGGCGGGACUACCCGCUGAAUUUAAGCAUAUCAAUAAGCGGAGGA
RNAcentral lists this ribosomal RNA (64 nucleotides) under Calamagrostis canadensis. Its description in RNAcentral is "partial 26S ribosomal RNA". The stretch from base 8 to 64 matches the Rfam family "Eukaryotic large subunit ribosomal RNA", at positions 1 to 57 of the family's 3401-position model. Lineage: Eukaryota; Viridiplantae; Streptophyta; Magnoliopsida; Poales; Poaceae. RNAcentral also lists the same sequence under 2 other names. The record is from RNAcentral.